Molecule: ribosomal RNA, 207 nt
Filed under: uncultured bacterium
Lineage: Bacteria
Description: partial 16S ribosomal RNA
Rfam family: Bacterial small subunit ribosomal RNA
Source: RNAcentral
CGCGUAGGCGGGGGACCAAGUCCGGGGUGAAAUCUUUCGGCUCAACCGGAAAACUGCCUUGGAUACUGGUCUUCUUGAGGGAGGUAGGGGCAGGUGGAACUUCCGGUGGAGCGGUGAAAUGCGUUGAUAUCGGAAGGAACGCCGGUAGCGAAAGCGACCUGCUGGAUCUCUUCUGACGCUGAGGCGCGAAAGCUAGGGGAGCGAACG